This 500-nucleotide ribosomal RNA is filed under the name uncultured bacterium. RNAcentral describes it as "bacterial SSU rRNA". It matches the Rfam family "Bacterial small subunit ribosomal RNA", at positions 8 to 521 of the family's 1533-position model. The record is from RNAcentral.
AGAGAACGAUCAUGGCUCAGGACGAACGCUGGCGGCGCGCCUAACACAUGCAAGUCGAACGAGCGAGAGAGAGCUUGCUUUCUCAAGCGAGUGGCGAACGGGUGAGUAACGCGUGAGGAACCUGCCUCAAAGAGGGGGACAACAGUUGGAAACGGCUGCUAAUACCGCAUAAGCCCACAGGUCGGCAUCGACCAGAGGGAAAAGGAGCAAUCCGCUUUGAGAUGGCCUCGCGUCCGAUUAGCUAGUUGGUGAGGUAAUGGCCCACCAAGGCGACGAUCGGUAGCCGGACUGAGAGGUUGAACGGCCACAUUGGGACUGAGACACGGCCCAGACUCCUACGGGAGGCAGCAGUGGGGAAUAUUGCACAAUGGGGGAAACCCUGAUGCAGCGACGCCGCGUGGAGGAAGAAGGUCUUCGGAUUGUAAACUCCUGUUGUUGAGGAAGAUAAUGACGGUACUCAACAAGGAAGUGACGGCUAACUACGUGCCAGCAGCCGCGGU